CUCUCUCUUUUAUUUAUUUAGUUUUUUUUCUCUCUUUCUUUCUUUUUUUCUUUGUUUCUUUUUUUUUCAUAAGAAACAGAGGACCUGCGCAUCCUCUUCCCCUUAUUUUUUUUCAUGGAACAGGGGGGACUCUCUUCCCUUGCUCCCAAAGUUGGGAGGUCCUCCUCCUAAUCGAGGACUCCCAUGGUCAGAGGGGUAGUCCCCGACGGUGAUAGCC
RNAcentral lists this long non-coding RNA (217 nucleotides) under Elaeis guineensis (African oil palm). RNAcentral's name for it is "long non-coding RNA (EGUI_LNC042716)". Lineage: Eukaryota; Viridiplantae; Streptophyta; Magnoliopsida; Arecales; Arecaceae. The record is from RNAcentral.